RNAcentral lists this ribosomal RNA (252 nucleotides) under Paenibacillaceae bacterium. Its description in RNAcentral is "partial 16S ribosomal RNA". It matches the Rfam family "Bacterial small subunit ribosomal RNA", at positions 524 to 776 of the family's 1533-position model. Lineage: Bacteria; Bacillati; Bacillota; Bacilli; Caryophanales; Paenibacillaceae. RNAcentral also lists the same sequence under 1 other name. The record is from RNAcentral.
UACGUAGGGGGCAAGCGUUGUCCGGAAUUAUUGGGCGUAAAGCGCGCGCAGGCGGUCAAGUAAGUCUGGUGUAUAAACCUGAGGCCCAACCUCGGGACGCAUUGGAAACUGGUUGACUGGAGUGUAGGAGAGGGAAGUGGAAUUCCACGUGUAGCGGUGAAAUGCGUAGAGAUGUGGAGGAACACCAGUGGCGAAGGCGACUUUCUGGCCUAUAACUGACGCUGAGGCGCGAAAGCGUGGGGAGCAAACAGG